Molecule: ribosomal RNA, 299 nt
Filed under: uncultured bacterium
Lineage: Bacteria
Description: partial 16S ribosomal RNA
Rfam family: Bacterial small subunit ribosomal RNA
Source: RNAcentral
AUUGAACGCUGGCGGAAUGCUUUACACAUGCAAGUCGAACGGUAGAGGGGGCAACCCUGGUGGCGAGUGGCGAACGGGUGAGUAAUAUAUCGGAACGUGCCCAGUCGUGGGGAUAACGUAGCGAAAGCUACGCUAAUACCGCAUACGAUCUAUGGAUGAAGCGGGGAUCGCAAGACCUCGCGCGAUUGGAGCGGCCGAUAUCAGAUUAGGUAGUUGGUGAGGUAAAGGCUCACCAAGCCGACGAUCUGUAGCCUGGUCUGAGAGGACGACCAGCCACACUGGGACUGAGACACGGCCCA